UACUUAAGCUUCUUAGCCUAACGGCUAUGGCUGGUGGUUUUAUAACCACCGGCCU
RNAcentral lists this small RNA (55 nucleotides) under Vibrio sp. 16. Its description in RNAcentral is "P26". It matches the Rfam family "Pseudomonas sRNA P26". From Rfam's summary of the family: P26 is conserved across many Gammaproteobacteria species and appears to be consistently located between the DNA directed RNA polymerase (beta subunit) and 50S ribosomal protein L7/L12 genes. The record is from RNAcentral. Lineage: Bacteria; Pseudomonadati; Pseudomonadota; Gammaproteobacteria; Vibrionales; Vibrionaceae.